Molecule: transfer RNA, 73 nt
Filed under: bacterium
Lineage: Bacteria
Description: tRNA-Arg
Rfam family: tRNA
About the family: Transfer RNA (tRNA) molecules are approximately 80 nucleotides in length. Their secondary structure includes four short double-helical elements and three loops (D, anti-codon, and T loops).
Source: RNAcentral
GCGCCUGUAGCUCAACUGGCAGAGCGUCGGGCUUCGAACCCGAAGGUUGCAGGUUCGAAUCCUGCCGGGCGUG